This is a long non-coding RNA of Eriocheir sinensis (Chinese mitten crab), 1203 nucleotides long. RefSeq lists it as uncharacterized. NCBI's taxonomy places the organism in Eukaryota, Metazoa, Arthropoda, Malacostraca, Decapoda, Varunidae. The transcript has 3 exons. The record is from RefSeq and is a predicted model, not a curated record.
UGAGGGUCAACGAGGGAUCGUGUAUUACCCGCCGCUCAACACUUCAUAAGCGCCAAGUUGUGUCACGGCCUCCACGCCUGUUCGGAUGUCUGGAGAAAGCGUCAGUGCCAUGGAGGAGGCGCGGGGAGAGGGGAAGGAGACCACGGGUGAGCAGAAUGGAACAGAUGACCGCUGAAGUUUGACUGAUGGAUGGCUGGAUUAUCUUCCACCACUGUGUAUACAAGGCAUCUGUCUCACCAUCCAGGGUGCUCGUUGGUGGUCUGCAACACCUGAAGGAAUGUCACAAGCUUUGACUGAAACCACAGUUUGUUGAAGGAUGGCUAUGCUGGUAGGGCCCACAGUACAGCUCAUCACACCACACUGAAAGCAGUAGCAAUGUUGAAAUUAAGACUAGUUCCCACUUCAUCAGCAACAGUGAAAUUAAAGAACAUAAUCAAGUAAGUGAACUUAACCUGGUAGCAGCGACAGGCCAAAUUUUUGCAAUGAUACAAACCCCACAAAAUGGAUGAUGCAUAAACUGAUCACAAAUGCGUUGAUAUACAUUAUGAAAUGGUUUGUGCGAGUAAUAAUUUCUUUUCACUUUUCUCGCUUAGAGGGCCCUUUAAGAAAUGUGAUCCCGCAGCUACCUGGUUAAAGAUCUAUGUUCGUUUCAUAUGUUUUCUGUAAUGAGCUAUUAUUUGUGUUGGUAAAUUUUAAUAGAUACUAGUGCAGACUUCUUGUCUAUCAGGUAUUUUGAACCAAGUAGUUUUUAUUAGAUGUACUUUAGGCCUAAAAAUGCAUAUUUUCUAUAUAUUCUUUUUUUUUAAGAUUUUAGACUUAUCAGUGAUAUUUGUCAAUUUUAUUGAUAAUUUUGCCAGUUUACUGCUAUUACUGAAGAAUUUUAACACUCACCUUAACUGGAAUGUCAAGAUAACAUUCCAUCACAAUUUUUCAUAAGUGGACGUAGGCAAGUCAUAUCAAACAUAGCACUGAUAACAGAUAGACAACAAAAGUAACAGUGGCAACCCAGAGAUUGUAUAAGUCAGCGCAGGCAGAGGACCAGGUGUCGAGAUGAAAUCAAAGCUUUUGCUGGAGCAGAUGGAGUACACUAAUGUCAGAUAAAGGUCGAUAACAGUAGGAAAUUCCUCUGUCCCACAGUGGACUUUUAAUGGGUGAUGAUGAUUGCUAUAACUGUGCAUGACCUCUGUGCUCAUCUCAAUUUUA